This 311-nucleotide ribosomal RNA is filed under the name uncultured Anaerolineaceae bacterium. Its description in RNAcentral is "bacterial SSU rRNA". It matches the Rfam family "Bacterial small subunit ribosomal RNA", at positions 99 to 407 of the family's 1533-position model. The record is from RNAcentral. Lineage: Bacteria; Bacillati; Chloroflexota; Anaerolineae; Anaerolineales; Anaerolineaceae.
CGAACGGGUGAGUAACGCGUUGGUGACCUGCCCCGAAGAGAGGGAUAACAGUCCGAAAGGAUUGCUAAUACCCCAUGUGGUUGUAUGGAUUAGAUGCCUUACAACUAAACGGAUUUAUUCGCUUCGGGAGGGGCCUGCGUCCCAUCAGCUAGUUGGUAGGGUAAUGGCCUACCAAGGCGAUGACGGGUAGGGGACCUGAGAGGGUGGCCCCCCACAAUGGAACUGAUUUACGGUCCAUACACCUACGGGUGGCAGCAGUAGGGAAUAUUGGUUAAUCUGCGAAAGCGGGAACCAGCAACGCCGCGUGCACG